AUGGAAAUCUGGCAAGUGGCAGCGGCAUACAGAUUGGCGAGAGGUGGGUUACCAGAAGGAGGCGACGUUAAAAUCAGUGCCAGUGACGACGAUGAUGGACACGAUGAGCUUGGUUGGCAGUGGCCGCCGCAACAGUGUUGUACUCGGAGCCCAUGCUAUCCGAGCUCGACAAUACGAACAGCUCAGUCCUUUUGCAGCCGUGUUCAUCGACAAGUUGUCCAUACAGUACCUUGGCAUCAACAACCACGGCCAUGA
This 255-nucleotide ribosomal RNA is filed under the name Triticum aestivum (bread wheat). RNAcentral describes it as "partial small subunit ribosomal RNA". Lineage: Eukaryota; Viridiplantae; Streptophyta; Magnoliopsida; Poales; Poaceae. The record is from RNAcentral.